GAUGAACGCUGGCGGCGUGCCUAAUACAUGCAAGUCGAGCGAACGGACGAGAAGCUUGCUUCUCUGAUGUUAGCGGCGGACGGGUGAGUAACACGUGGAUAACCUACCUAUAAGACUGGGAUAAUUUCGGGAAACCGGAGCUAAUACCGGAUAAUAUUUUGAACCGCAUGGUUCAAAAGUGAAAGACGGUCUUGCUGUCACUUAUAGAUGGAUCCGCGCUGCAUUAGCUAGUUGGUAAGGUAACGGCUUACCAAGGCAACGAUGCAUAGCCGACCUGAGAGGGUGAUCGGCCACACGGGAACUGAGACACGGUCCAGACUCCUGCGGUAGGCCGCAGUAGAGAAUCUUCCGCAAUGGGGGAGAGCCUGACAGAGCAACGCGGCGUGAGUGAUGAAGGUCUUCGGAUCGGAAAGCUCUGUUAUUAGGGGAGAACAUAUGUGUAAGUAACUGUGCACAUCUUGACGGUACCGGGUCAAAAAGCCACGGCUAACUACGUG
Molecule: ribosomal RNA, 497 nt
Filed under: uncultured bacterium
Lineage: Bacteria
Description: partial 16S ribosomal RNA
Rfam family: Bacterial small subunit ribosomal RNA
Source: RNAcentral